AGGAUACAGUCAGUAUACGAGC
Molecule: microRNA, 22 nt
Filed under: Limulus polyphemus (Atlantic horseshoe crab)
Lineage: Eukaryota; Metazoa; Arthropoda; Merostomata; Xiphosura; Limulidae
Description: Lpo-Iab-4-P3-as_3p (mature (guide))
Source: RNAcentral